Molecule: ribosomal RNA, 338 nt
Filed under: Waldo paucitentaculatus
Lineage: Eukaryota; Metazoa; Mollusca; Bivalvia; Galeommatida; Lasaeidae
Description: Waldo sp. 2 PD-2012 partial 16S ribosomal RNA
Rfam family: Bacterial large subunit ribosomal RNA
Source: RNAcentral
UUUUAACGGCCGCAGUUGGAAGCUGUGCUAAGGUAGCGUAAUAAAUUGUCCUUUAAAUGAGGAAGUGAAUGAAUGGCUUGACGUAAAAAAUUCUGUCUCCAAGAAAGUAUAUGAAAUUUUCUUCUUAGUGAAAAGACUGAGAUUUAAUUAAAAGACGAGAAGACCCUGUUGAGCUUGUAAUUAUUAAUAUAUAAGUGUGUUAAAAAAGUUUGGUUGGGGUAACCAGGGAGUAUAAAUAACCUCCCUUAAGUAAUAGAAAUCCAAAAUUUUUGAAAAAAGAAAAAGUUACCGUAGGGAUAACAGCGUUAUCUUUUCUAAGAGAGCAAAUUGAAGAAAAG